RNAcentral lists this ribosomal RNA (447 nucleotides) under uncultured bacterium. RNAcentral's name for it is "partial 16S ribosomal RNA". It matches the Rfam family "Bacterial small subunit ribosomal RNA", at positions 330 to 794 of the family's 1533-position model. The record is from RNAcentral.
GCCAGACUCCUACGGGAGGCAGCAGUGGGGAAUAUUGCACAAUGGGGGGAACCCUGAUGCAGCGACGCCGCGUGGGUGAAGGAGCGUUUCGGCGCGUAAAGCCCUCUCGGCAGGGAAGAAGGAGGACGGUACCUGACUAAGAAGCCCCGGCUAACUACGUGCCAGCAGCCGCGGUAAUACGUAGGGGGCAAGCGUUAUCCGGAUUUACUGGGUGUAAAGGGAGCGUAGACGGCGAUGCAAGUCUGAAGUGAAAGGCGGGGGCCCAACCCCCGGACUGCUUUGGAACUGUAUAGCUAGAGUGUCGGAGAGGCAGGCGGAAUUCCUAGUGUAGCGGUGAAAUGCGUAGAUAUUAGGAGGAACACCAGUGGCGAAGGCGGCCUGCUGGACGAUGACUGACGUUGAGGCUCGAAAGCGUGGGGAGCAAACAGGAUUAGAUACCCGCGUAAC